CUAAACAGAGAUAAGCAGCACCCUGAACAUGCCUGAUUUCAUCUGCUCUUGGAAGCUAAGCAGGAUCAGGCAUGGUUAGUGUUUGGAUGGGAGACCUCUCGGGAACACCAGGUACUGUAGACA
This is a non-coding RNA of Podarcis lilfordi (Lilford's wall lizard), 123 nucleotides long. The record is from the annotation of a GenBank genome assembly. NCBI's taxonomy places the organism in Eukaryota, Metazoa, Chordata, Lepidosauria, Squamata, Lacertidae.